AACGAACGCUGGCGGCAUGCCUAACACAUGCAAGUCGAACGAGACCUUCGGGUCUAGUGGCGCACGGGUGCGUAACGCGUGGGAACCUGCCCUUAGGUUCGGAAUAACUCCCCGAAAGGGGUGCUAAUACCGGAUAAUGUCUUCGGACCAAAGAUUUAUCGACUUUGGAUGGGCGCGCGUUGGAUUAGCUAGUUGGUAGGGUAAAAGCCUACCAAGGCGACGAUCCAUAGCUGGUCUGAGAGGAUGAUCAGCCACACUGGGACUGAGACACGGCCCAGACUCCUACGCGAGGGAGCAGUGGGGAAUAUUGGACAAUGGGCGAUAGCCUGAUCCAGCAAUGCCGCGUGAGUGAUGAAGGCCUUAGGGUUGUAAAUCUCUUUUACCCGGGAUGAUAAUGACAGUACCGGGAGAAUAAGCACCGGCUAACUCCGUG
Molecule: ribosomal RNA, 433 nt
Filed under: uncultured bacterium
Lineage: Bacteria
Description: partial 16S ribosomal RNA
Rfam family: Bacterial small subunit ribosomal RNA
Source: RNAcentral